Molecule: ribosomal RNA, 565 nt
Filed under: Streptomyces sp. 419D05
Lineage: Bacteria; Bacillati; Actinomycetota; Actinomycetes; Kitasatosporales; Streptomycetaceae
Description: bacterial SSU rRNA
Rfam family: Bacterial small subunit ribosomal RNA
Source: RNAcentral
UAGNGGCGAACGGGUGAGUAACACGUGCUCAAUCUGCCCUUCACUCUGNCACAAGCCCUGGUAAACGGGGUCUAAUACCGGAUAUCACUCCUGCAGGCAUCUGCGGGAGUUGAAAGCUCCGGCGGUGAAGGAUGAGCCCGCGGCCUAUCAGCUUGUUGGUGAGGUAAUGGCUCACCAAGGCGACGACGGGUAGCCGGCCUGAGAGGGCGACCGGCCACACUGGGACUGAGACACGGCCCAGACUCCUACGGGAGGCAGCAGUGGGGAAUAUUGCACAAUGGGCGAAAGCCUGAUGCAGCGACGCCGCGUGAGGGAUGACGGCCUUCGGGUUGUAAACCUCUUUCAGCAGGGAAGAAGCGAAAGUGACGGUACCUGCAGAAGAAGCGCCGGCUAACUACGUGCCAGCAGCCGCGGUAAUACGUAGGGCGCAAGCGUUGUCCGGAAUUAUUGGGCGUAAAGAGCUCGUAGGCGGCUUGUCACGUCGGGUGUGAAAGCCCGGGGCUUAACCCCGGGUCUGCAUUCGAUACGGGCUAGCUAGAGUGUGGUAGGGGAGAUCGGAAUUCCU